This 119-nucleotide ribosomal RNA is filed under the name Amphilophus citrinellus (Midas cichlid). The record is from RNAcentral. Lineage: Eukaryota; Metazoa; Chordata; Actinopteri; Cichliformes; Cichlidae.
UUUUGCAGCCAUACCACCCUGAACCCGCCCGAUCUCGUCUGAUCUCGGAAGCUACGCAAGGUCGGGCCUGGUUAGUACUUGUAUGGGAGACCACCUGGGAAGACCAGGUGCUGUAAGCU